UCAUGCUGUUUCUGCCACACUUGGUGGUUCCCCACAGCCUCUAAACCUAAGCACUUCAUAGCUGUAGAGGCUUAUUUGACAGGGGGGGUUAAUUACUUUAUUUUUGUAAAUAAAACUGAAGGAGCAGAGCUGUAUCUGCCAGUACCUGGUGCAGCCUCAUUCUGCCAACUUGUUCCUGACAGCUGUUCCCCUUCUUGGGCUUCUAGAAGCAUCCUCAGAGAGCUGUGUGAAACCACAGGUACAGAAACCUGAGAGCCCCGAGUCCCAGGUGAGGGGUGUUGGUGUGUCCUGUGCCUCAGAGGCCAAGGUACAAUACCAGCUGUCCUCAUUGUAGUCGAGUAAUUUCACACAAUGAGUUUCCUGUUUAUAAGCUGAGCUUCACAAUAUGAUUUUUGCCCUCCAUUUCUUACGAAUGGAAAGAAGAGCACACUGAGCACAGCUCAUCUGUCAGCAGCUCUGUGAAAAGCUGAUGCUGAGCAAGCAGGAGGGAGGCAGAGAUCUCUCCCCAAACCGAGCGCGUACAAAGCACUGAGUGAGUUGUGACGAGAACAACAGCUCCGAUGGAAGCACGAGCCAAGAACAACAGCUCGACAGGGAACUUUACACUUUCCCUGACAGCUCCUUGGGGCGGAGACAGUUAAGUUUCUGCGUUUGUAAGGGAAACAUGGCAUUCCUUAAAGCUGAGCCUCCUCCCUCGGGUUCCCACUGAAUGCCUGAGAGAUGACAGCAGAGGGUGUCUCCAGCAGGCUCCUAUUAAACAGGAGGAAUUAGCACGGAGGGAGCAAGAGCUAGAUCCCAGUUUUGACCACAGAGUGAGCAAAAAAGCUUUGCAUCAGCAGCAGUUUGCAGGUUUUUUUUACCCACUGACUGCACACAGCUCCUCUUCAGGGGGUUCCUGUGCCCUCGUGUUGGUGCCUGCACCUGUCCGAUGUGCGAAGGGCUGUGCUGGGAGGGCAGACCAGCUCCAAACAGAAAGUGCUGAGGCAGCAGUGAGGCAGGACAGAUGAUCCUUGGGAGGGCAGUUGUGGUUCAGACACACUUGGAACUGGUUUGAUAUCCCCAGCAGCACAAACCCGGCUGGCCGGGGAGCUGGUGAGCCGAGUAUGUGGACAGAUGGAAUAGAUACAGACAGGAAAUGGGGGAGAAAGGGGAAAUAUUAGUGUUUGUACAGCUCCGGGAGGCUCUGGUUAGUUCUGGAGUCCUGCAGUCCCAUUUCUAUUUUUAGCUCAGUCACUGGAUGGUUUUGGGGAGUGACUGGAGGAGCUCGAGCCAGGUGUGAGUGUGGAGAGAGGACAAACCUCUGGGCACCAGGCAGCUCAUGCGAUGUGGCAGUCACCACCACGCCCUUUCCUGUUCACCCCGGGGCCCCGGGCAGCCGUGCCAGCCACAGUGCCUGAGUGGGGAGAAGGGAAAAGGAGGGGUUUCUAAAGUGCUGAUAACCCACAGCAUUCCUCGGGAAAGGAGAGGUGGCGAGCAGCUCUGGUGGUGUCUCUCCCCUGAGACAAAAGCUCACAGAAGUUCUGGAAGCUGCUUUGGGCGGGGUGUCGACUUCUGGCCGUGCCUCAGCCUCGUGCCCUGUUAGAGGCAAUAUUGACUUAAAGAAAGAGGCAUGGAGCAUGCUUGGCAUGGGUGUUCCGAGUUAAAAAUUGUCAGUCUGGGCAAACAGACCUUUGGGGUGAUCGGCAGGAAAGCCGAGUGGCUGUGCUGCAUUAUUACUGCUCCUUUCAGAGCACGGUGUGACCUGGUGCUGCUCUGGGCGCUGAGCACCCGGCUCGGCGGGUUUGGAGAAGCGCUGCAGGUUUUGGAGCUCAGUGCUUCAGAUCAAACCCAUUUCCUUCCCCUCGGUGAGGUGUUUGUACUGCCUCAGUGAGUCAAUAAGCAUGUGAGGAAUGCAUCUCACAGCUGAAGCAGUGCCUCGUCAGGAGAAGAACCAGUACCUGGCAGAUGGGAGGCAUGUGUUCUACAAAAGCUGCUGUUCACUGGCAGGAGGCACCUGAUUCCCUGGGUGGAACUUCCUGUCCGUGUUUCUGCCCGUUACUCUUGUCCUGUCUCUUGGCACCUCUGAGCAGAGCCUGGUCCAUGCCAGGUAGCCACAAGCGGCUGAGGAGUUGAACCCCACGGCUGACACAGUAUCCCCGUGCCACGCACUGGGCACGGCCGGGGCUCGAACCCGCAACCCUCUGAGCGCAGGGCCCGCGUUGGCCGGACGGGGGCGCGGCGGCCCCAGCGCCGCCCGGAAGCGGAA
Molecule: long non-coding RNA, 2245 nt
Organism: Parus major (Great Tit)
Lineage: Eukaryota; Metazoa; Chordata; Aves; Passeriformes; Paridae
Exons: 3
Source: RefSeq, a predicted model, not a curated record